GGUUUCCGUAGGUGAACCUGCGGAAGGAUCAUUACCGAGUGCGGGUCCUUUGGGCCCAACCUCCCAUCCGUGUCUAUUAUACCCUGUUGCUUCGGCGGGCCCGCCGCUUGUCGGCCGCCGGGGGGGCGCCUUUGCCCCCCGGGCCCGUGCCCGCCGGAGACCCCAACACGAACACUGUCUGAAAGCGUGCAGUCUGAGUUGAUUGAAUGCAAUCAGUUAAAACUUUCAACAAUGGAUCUCUUGGUUCCGGCAUCGAUGAAGAACGCAGCGAAAUGCGAUAACUAAUGUGAAUUGCAGAAUUCAGUGAAUCAUCGAGUCUUUGAACGCACAUUGCGCCCCCUGGUAUUCCGGGGGGCAUGCCUGUCCGAGCGUCAUUGCUGCCCUCAAGCCCGGCUUGUGUGUUGGGUCGCCGUCCCCCUCUCCGGGGGGACGGGCCCGAAAGGCAGCGGCGGCACCGCGUCCGAUCCUCGAGCGUAUGGGGCUUUGUCACAUGCUCUGUAGGAUUGGCCGGCGCCUGCCGACGUUUUCCAACCAUUCUUUCCAGGUUGACCUCGGAUCAGGUAGGGAUACCCGCUGAACUUAAGCAU
RNAcentral lists this ribosomal RNA (587 nucleotides) under fungal sp. 57494. RNAcentral's name for it is "eukaryotic LSU rRNA". The stretch from base 221 to 374 matches the Rfam family "5.8S ribosomal RNA". The record is from RNAcentral. Lineage: Eukaryota; Fungi.